AAUAAGCGUAGCCAUGAGUAUCCGCGCUCAAUUUUAAUCGUCUGUCAUAUUUGAAAUUUUUUUAUAAUUAGCAUUUUUGUUGUUAUAGGAUGAUAAAACAUGAAUAGUACUUUACUCGUGACUUAUGUUUUUAAUCUUUUUAAAAAAAAUUUAAAUAAGACGAACACUUAAAGUUGGACGUGAAAAACCAUGACUGCACUUAUU
This is a microRNA precursor of Oryza rufipogon (brownbeard rice), 204 nucleotides long. It matches the Rfam family "MIR812 microRNA precursor family". The record is from Rfam. Lineage: Eukaryota; Viridiplantae; Streptophyta; Magnoliopsida; Poales; Poaceae.